This is a non-coding RNA of Callithrix jacchus (white-tufted-ear marmoset), 813 nucleotides long. The record is from RefSeq and is a predicted model, not a curated record. Lineage: Eukaryota; Metazoa; Chordata; Mammalia; Primates; Cebidae.
UGGGCGGCUGGAGUCCGGGAGUACAGUGAACGGGCUGUAGUCUAGCAUAAAGGCGGAACCCAGAAGAAGGGGCGUGGCGUGGUAGAAGCCUCCCCGCCUGCCCCCGCAAUGCGGCACCCACUAGUCCUGCCGCUGCUCCUCUCUGCCCUGGUGACCCCCUCCGCUGCAGCACCUAUCCACGAUGCUGAUGCCCAAGAGAGCUCCUUUGGUCUUACAGGCCUCCGAAGCCUGCUCCAAGUCUUUAGCUGACUUUUCCUGAAACAGCAGGAUGAUCUGCUUUGGGGCAUGGACAGCUUCUUCUCUGCCCUCAUGGACUUCUGGGGCCUCCCUAGGAACUACCACCAAGAGGGGAACCAGGAGCACCAGCUGGGAAACAACACCAUCUCCAGCCACCUCCAGAUCGACAAGGUGACAGACAACAAGACAGGAGAGGUGCUGAUCUCUGAGAAGGUGGUGGCAUCCAUCCAACUAGCAGAGGGGAGCUUCAAGGGUGACAGGAAGGUACCCAGGAUGGAGGAGAAGGAGGCCCUGGUGCCAAUCUGAAAGGCCAUGAACAGCUUCCACACAGAACUCUGUCCCCAGGUGGCCUUCUGGAUCAUGAAGCUGCCAUGGCAGAGGUCCCACCAGGAUGUCCCAGAGGGUGGCCACUGGCUCAGCGAGAAGUGACACCGCCUGCAGGCCAUCCGAGAUGGGCUCCAUGAGGGGACCCGUGAGGACGUCUUAGAAGAGAGGACCCAGGGCUUCUCCCACUCCAGGCUGUUCCCCCAAAAGACCCACUUACCCUACAUCUUUAGGCCCUCCCAGCAGCUGUAG